UGCAGUCGAGCGGAUGAAGGGAGCUUGCUCCUGGAUUCAGCGGCGGACGGGUGAGUAAUGCCUAGGAAUCUGCCUGGUAGUGGGGGAUAACGUCCGGAAACGGGCGCUAAUACCGCAUACGUCCUGAGGGAGAAAGUGGGGGAUCUUCGGACCUCACGCUAUCAGAUGAGCCUAGGUCGGAUUAGCUAGUUGGUGGGGUAAAGGCCUACCAAGGCGACGAUCCGUAACUGGUCUGAGAGGAUGAUCAGUCACACUGGAACUGAGACACGGUCCAGACUCCUACGGGAGGCAGCAGUGGGGAAUAUUGGACAAUGGGCGAAAGCCUGAUCCAGCCAUGCCGCGUGUGUGAAGAAGGUCUUCGGAUUGUAAAGCACUUUAAGUUGGGAGGAAGGGCAGUAAGUUAAUACCUUGCUGUUUUGACGUUACCAACAGAAUAAGCACCGGCUAACUUCGUGCCAGCAGCCGCGGUAAUACGAAGGGUGCAAGCGUUAAUCGGAAAAACUGGGCGUAAAGCGCGCGUAGGUGGUUCAGCAAGUUGGAUGUGAAAUCCCCGGGCUCAACCUGGGAACUGCAUCCAAAACUACUGAGCUAGAGUACGGUAGAGGGUGGUGGAAUUUCCUGUGUAGCG
RNAcentral lists this ribosomal RNA (628 nucleotides) under Pseudomonas sp. Horo_20. RNAcentral describes it as "bacterial SSU rRNA". It matches the Rfam family "Bacterial small subunit ribosomal RNA", at positions 56 to 680 of the family's 1533-position model. The record is from RNAcentral. Lineage: Bacteria; Pseudomonadati; Pseudomonadota; Gammaproteobacteria; Pseudomonadales; Pseudomonadaceae.